This 403-nucleotide ribosomal RNA is filed under the name Theileria sp. RNAcentral describes it as "SSU rRNA". It matches the Rfam family "Eukaryotic small subunit ribosomal RNA", at positions 601 to 1043 of the family's 1831-position model. Lineage: Eukaryota; Apicomplexa; Aconoidasida; Piroplasmida; Theileriidae. The record is from RNAcentral.
AUAUUAAAAUUGUUGCAGUUAAAAAGCUCGUAGUUGAAUUUCUGCUGCAUUGCGCUUUCUCUUUGAUGAGUUUGCGUAUUGUGGCUUAUUUCGGGUAUUUUUUAUCCGAAUGAUUACUUUGAGAAAAUUAGAGUGCUCAAAGCAGGCUUUUGCCUUGAAUAGUUUAGCAUGGAAUAAUAGAGUAGGACUUUGGUUCUAUUUUGUUGGUUUUAGGUACCAAAGUAAUGGUUAAUAGGAACAGUUGGGGGCAUUCGUAUUUAACUGUCAGAGGUGAAAUUCUUAGAUUUGUUAAAGACGAACUACUGCGAAAGCAUUUGCCAAGGAUGUUUUCAUUAAUCAAGAACGAAAGUUAGGGGAUCGAAGACGAUCAGAUACCGUCGUAGUCCUAACCAUAAACUAUGCC